CUGCUGUAUGGGUUAAAUUUCUGAAAAUUCCAUCCCGCUUACCACUAUACGAACUGCCUAUCUUCUGGGGAUGCUGCAGUCUGCUGCUGAGGAUCUGGACCAGCACCAUACAAAGUGGUUGUUUCUAGGGAAACCAACGGUGGGUUUUGCCAGCAUGUCAACAGGCUUUGUGAUCUGAAAGAGGCUGGAGGGAAGGGAAGCGAGGGCAGAGUCACUGAGCUGGAGCGGUGAGAUCCGGGAGGGGGCUGCCUGCCAGGCCGGCUGUGAAAGAAGAGGACAGCGCUGAAAGUAGGCUAUUGCACUUGGCAGAUUCGGAGAAACGACGCGGCAGAAUCCUAAUUGUAGUGGACGACUGAAGUGGGAAUGAAGUCACGCUAUCCUUUAUCUGAUGAUGAAGCUGAGAGGCUGAGCAUCUGAGCCUCACAGAGAUAAGAGCCUGAAGUCACGGAUGAUGCUCCUUGUGUGGGGGAGAAGACUCCAGAUCACUGCUGCCAGUACAGUAGGGAAGGGAACUCGAUAUCCAGAGGAAGGAAUAUCGAUAUCCAGUUAAGAUGGACAUCCUCACACAGAUUUGCCCAUAGGAAGGCUGAAGGAAGUGUCUUCUCUGCCAUUGUGUGCAGUGUGCUCAUUUCUUUAAGCCUUCUGAGGACCCUAGGAUGUAGCUAUCGUUUCCACCCCACAGAGGAGAAGACAAGCACAGAGGUAACAGACCCAAGGUUACCUACCUCAGUGUCAGACUUCUCAUUCAGGGAAUCUGAACAGAGCCUUUCUUGUCAACCUAUAUGCUAUGAUGGAAGAAAGCUCAAAGGAGGGCAAGCACCUGCCUCACAGAGAGCCUGGGAGGACCGCCUUAGAAGAUGCACAUAUGAGCUCAUAACACCUGCCUCACAGAAUGACUGGGAGGACCGCAUUAGAAGAUGCACACAUGAGACUAUAGCACCUGCUUCACAGAAAGCCUGGGAGGACCACACUAGAAAACACACAUACGGUGAGCUUCACAUACACUCUGAUGUGCCGAGUGAGUGUAUGGAGAUGGCAGCCACGACUGUUUAUGGAAAAACAGGACAAUAGCAAAACAGCAAAUUCUACAGAAAAUUAAAUUAGCAAUUACAAAAUUAUUCACAUUUCUCAGAGUUAUGCGAACAAGAACUCAUGUAUUUCAAAUUAUUCAUAGUUAACUAGAUUAUACAUUCAAAAACAUUUGUUCAUGAUCAACUAUGAGGCACCAUUUUAUUUUGAAGAAUUUUGCAUUGGCAUAUUUUUGUUCUUGCUUUUAUUUUUUGAGACAACAUCCCGUGCAGCCCAGACUGGCCUUGAUUCUGCUGCUCCUGCCUCCUGAGGACUUGAUUACAGGCAUAUCACACUAUACCCAACUCUGACAUUGCUAUUCGAAAAUAAACAUUCUUUUCAAAGAAUUGAACAUAUAUCACCAAAGGAGGUCAGGUGUUAAUUCCUUUAUAUCACUUUCUAAACACCUCAGAGAGACACUGGAACAGACAGAACCUGAUCAGCAAAGUGAGUCCCUUGUGGGAGAAAAAUGAAGGUAAGUAAGGACAAUGGCAGUCAAGACCUUGGCAUUUAAGACAGGAUGGGAAAGAAUUAUCUUAACCGCUAAACUUAUAUUAAAUGGAAAAUUCCAGAAAUAGACAUCUCAUACAUCUUAAAUUGCAUGGUAGCCCAAAUAGCAUUUUUUUUGAUUGUUGUUUUUUUUUUGGGGGGGUGGGGUGGGGUUUGAGACAGGGUUUCUCUGUAUAGUUUUGGUGCCUGUCCUGGAACUCACUCUGUAGACCAGGCUGGCCUUGAACUCACAGAGAUCCUCCUGGCUCUGCCUCCCGAGUGCUGGGAUUAAAGGCGCACAUGCCACCACCAUCCGGCUCCCAAAUAGCAUUUUCAAACCCCACACUGUCCUUCCUGUCUUGCCUGGGAUGGACAGUGAAUCGUCCUGUCCAGUGUCUCCAUGCUGUGUAUGACACCUGGUCAUUUCCGUUACUAGACCCACUGCUGGAGUAUUGAGACAGGAACUAGCUUCCCUUAGGCAGUAAGGACAGGGUUGAUGGUGGAUCAUGAGCUGCUUAUGUGGCAUUCACGACCCAACCCUGGAACAGGCAAAUAACUAUCGAACUGGUCAAGAUAUGUGGGCUCCUUACUGGUUUGGCUCAUAAUGCACUAAAAAAAAAAUGACCAAUCACAAUACAGAUCACCCAGUCUUCAUCCACUUGCUACCAUAAGACCCACGAAGGGCCACAGGGAAGACUGUAUGUGCCUGUCAUACUCAGGAGUUUUCUCACUUUUCCUUAAUAAACCCGUAUUUGCUUGGCUCA
Molecule: long non-coding RNA, 2321 nt
Organism: Peromyscus californicus insignis
Lineage: Eukaryota; Metazoa; Chordata; Mammalia; Rodentia; Cricetidae
Exons: 3
Source: RefSeq, a predicted model, not a curated record